RNAcentral lists this ribosomal RNA (252 nucleotides) under uncultured bacterium. RNAcentral describes it as "partial 16S ribosomal RNA". It matches the Rfam family "Bacterial small subunit ribosomal RNA", at positions 524 to 775 of the family's 1533-position model. The record is from RNAcentral.
UACGUAGGAUGCAAGCGUUGUCCGGAAUUAUUGGGCGUAAAGGGUGCGCAGGGGUUUUUUCAAGUCAGAUGUGAAAUAUCCCGGCUUAACUGGGAGGGGCCAUUUGAAACUGAAAGACUAGAGUGCAGGAGAGGAUAGCGGAAUUCCCGGUGUAGUGGUGAAAUGCGUAGAUAUCGGGAGGAACACCAGUGGCGAAGGCGGCUAUCUGGCCUGCAACUGACGCUGAGGCACGAAGGCUAGGGGAGCGAACAG